Molecule: ribosomal RNA, 352 nt
Filed under: bacterium enrichment culture clone ALO1_GLFRUDD03GDL08
Lineage: Bacteria
Description: bacterial SSU rRNA
Rfam family: Bacterial small subunit ribosomal RNA
Source: RNAcentral
GAGUUUGAUCUUGGCUCAGAUUGAACGCUGGCGGCAUGCCUUACACAUGCAAGUCGAACGGCAGCACGGGAGCUUGCUCCUGGUGGCGAGUGGCGAACGGGUGAGUAAUGCAUCGGAACGUAUCCUGGAGUGGGGGAUAACGUAGCGAAAGUUACGCUAAUACCGCAUAUUCUGUGAGCAGGAAAGCGGGGGGACCUUCGGGGCCUCGCGCUCUUGGAGCGGCCGAUGUCGGAUUAGCUAGUUGGUGAGGUAAAGGCUCACCAAGGCGACGAUCCGUAGCAGGUCUGAGAGGAUGAUCUGCCACACUGGAACUGAGACACGGUCCAGACUCCUACGGAGGCAGCAGUGGGAA